RNAcentral lists this ribosomal RNA (402 nucleotides) under uncultured bacterium. Its description in RNAcentral is "bacterial SSU rRNA". It matches the Rfam family "Bacterial small subunit ribosomal RNA", at positions 355 to 747 of the family's 1533-position model. The record is from RNAcentral.
UGGGGAAUAUUGCGCAAUGGGCGAAAGCCUGACGCAGCGACGCCUCGUGAGGGAUGAAGGUCUUCGGAUCGUAAACCUCUGUCAAGAGGGAAGAAACCCUUGAGUUCGAACAGGGCUCUUGGCUGACGGUACCUCUAAAGGAAGCACCGGCUAACUCCGUGCCAGCAGCCGCGGUAAUACGGAGGGUGCAAGCGUUAAUCGGAAUCACUGGGCGUAAAGCGCUCGUAGGCGGUUUGGUCAGUCAGAUGUGAAAGCCCUCGGCUUAACCGGGGAACUGCAUUUGAUACUGCCAGACUUGAGUGUCGGAGAGGGUGGCGGAAUUCCGGGUGUAGGAGUGAAAUCCGUAGAUAUCCGGAGGAACACCAGUGGCGAAGCGGCCACCGUGGACGACAACGUGACGCU